This is a non-coding RNA of Lolium perenne, 1015 nucleotides long. NCBI's taxonomy places the organism in Eukaryota, Viridiplantae, Streptophyta, Magnoliopsida, Poales, Poaceae. The record is from RefSeq and is a predicted model, not a curated record.
AAACACUCUACAUCGUAGCCCGAUGGGAACCGAACUAUCGGACUGAUUUGUUGCCGUCGAUCUUUGCCCCAUCGUAGGAUCCAUAGCCACAGCAGAUUGGUUCUCACCUUUGGAGAAAAAGGGUCUGGUUCAACACGAUGGCCACAAUCACCGGCCACCGGGAUUUCGCUGCCAGUUACAGAUCUAGUUCCUCAAUUCUUUCCCAAAUUGUCUCUCCCCACCUCGCGGACGCUGCUUCCCCACCGCGCCGACGCUGCUCUUCCGAACGCACCCCGCCCUCCCAUCACCACUCCGGCCUGCACCUCUCUUUGAUCGACUCCUCGUCAAGCAAGUAGGCCGUUCCACCGCGGGGAAACAUCGUCAGUGUAUCCCUGAUUGCCGGCGGCCGGUGCAGUAGGUUCCGAGGCGGAUUUGCUUUGCUCCGAUCAGGUUCAGCUAUUUCCUUCCUGGAUCAUGGUGACGCUUCAUCCAAAUUGAUCAUACACUGCUGGGCUUUUCUCUGUCCAUACCGAUUUGAUCCCUACACCGUUCUGCUGAAGUAUGAAGCACAACCACCAUCUGAAUAAAUCAUGACCACAAAGGAAGCAUGGUCUGCCUCUAAAGAAGCACAACCACAUUAUCAAGGAAGCACGGCCAGCAUUAGAAUGUAACAUGACCACGAUGAGAAAGUCGAGGUUGAGGUCACAUGGAUAACAAGGACAAGGUUAUGCUUGUCAACAUCUCCUCUUUGAAGGAACCAGUGUUGGGCUAUGGCGAUUACGCAUCACAGGGGCUGCAAGCAAAGACAUCGGCACGUUGGCAGCGUCGUCAUACGUUGUAUGAAAUUAGGAAGCAACUGAAAUUUGUUUGAAGCACAAGAAUGGAAUCAAUAAUUUUUUGUCCAUGGGAGCAUCAUUCUUUGUAAAUGGAAGCAAAAAAAAUUUGUACAUGAAAGUUGAAAGCGCAAAUUUCAUUUGUAUUUCUUCGCAGCACAUUCCUAAUUCUUAUGAAUUAUGUAUAGUCAUGAUAGUGGUUC